Molecule: long non-coding RNA, 216 nt
Filed under: Capsella rubella
Lineage: Eukaryota; Viridiplantae; Streptophyta; Magnoliopsida; Brassicales; Brassicaceae
Description: long non-coding RNA (CRUB_LNC000493)
Source: RNAcentral
GAAAUGGUCUGCAUUGAACUGACGGGUUCUUUGUAGCUCAAUAAAAGGCUGACGGGCCCAGUGGAACAAGAUAGGUUCAAAGGUCAUGAGAGAUGAUCGAACCUGGUAUUGAGGUGGAAUUCUUGCUUGUAGCAAGAAGUAUGGUGUGUUCUAGCUUGGCAAAGUGUUGCCGGGUAGUUGAUUGUGUGUCUUUUUCUAUGUGACUGAUAAGUGUGG